AAAUGGUCGAACUCACAACUUUAUUUCCAGUGCACUUGUCUUGUACAAUUCCCCCAAAGGGCUCACAUCUUUGUCUGGGGUAGCUGUUCUUUGCCCACAACUGAGAAGCAAAUAAAAGCAACUCCUGGACUUAGGUGACUCAGCACAUUCCAAUACAGUGAAAAGCAGGUUUUUCUCUGGACUUCCUGGGCCAUUUGCCUGCCUAGCAACCAGGUACUCAAACAAACAGUGCCAGACAGGACCUACCUGUGUCUGACCUGAAGCAGCUGGCUAGCAGGCCUCUUUUUAAAAGGAGUGGCCGGCCAACUGUGCCAGAGGCUACAGUACAGUCAAAUCCCAUUCAUGGUGAGCUCUGGUUAUAUACUGACAGUAUCCACCACACCUUGAUCUAAGAAGUUAAUCUGAACCCCUAGCAUCCACAUGAAGACUGAGCUGUUUACCAGAGCCAGUGUUGUUAGGGGGGGAAACUGGCCCUUACAGUUAGAUCCUUUGCUUCUUGGUCUUUAAAAAUGAAGCUGUUACUACUUCUGCAUAAGUCAGUCACUGGGGAUACAGACUGAUGGGUUCAUUUCCAUGUGUUCCACUCCUAGAAUGUUGGGACUAUUGGGGGGGGAAAGUCCCUGGAAUUUAGAAUGAAGUUCUGGGAGCAUCUAUUGGCUGAAUAUGCUGCAUGAAAGAGGCUAUUGGAGGUGAGGGAAUUCCCCAAGGCUCAGGGAGCUAACCUUUGAUUUGUGUUGCAUAGAGAGUAAGUUGUAUAUUGGAUAUAGCAAACUUCAACUGCUUCUGUCCAACUGAUAUUUUAUUUACUCUGAAUGUGUUGUUUUCUAAACAGAUUUUGAGGAGAUAUAUAAAAUAAUGACAAUGAAAUUGAGCCUAUUCCUCCCUCCCAUUCAGCUUGUUCCACCAGUGGAGGUACAUAGCAUUUAUAAAAGCUUUCUGUAAUUUAUUACAGCAAAAUAUGAUAUAUCAAGUACAACAUCUGAGCGACAGUCCCGUCAUCAUCCAAAAAAAUAAAAGUUGUUUCAUACUAAAGGAGACAGAGACAGUUAUGGCAUCUGUAGUUGCAAUGUUGUUCUUUAAGUCCUGUUUCAUUGGUGUACGAAAUAAAUUGCUACCAUGUAGUAUAAAAAACACACCUGGUGUUUCCUUGCUGUUCAACACUUUAAACAUACUGUCUCGCCAGAGUGGUACAUGCUCUGGUUAUCUCCCGCUUGGAUUACUGCAGUGCGCUCUGUGUGGGGCUACCUUUGAAGGUGACUCGGAAACUGCAACUAAUCCAGAAUGCAGCAGCUGGACUGGGUGUGGCCGCUGGGACCAUAUAACACUGGUCCUAAAGGAUCUUCACUGGCUCCCAGUAUGCUUCCGAGCACAAUUCAAUGUGUUGGUGCUGACCUUUAAAGCCCUAAAUGGCCUCAGCCCAGUAUACCUGAAGGAGUGUCUCCACCCCCAUCAUUCAGCUCAGACACUGAGGUUAUCCCCCGAGGGUCUUCUGGCAGUUCCCUCACUGCGAGAAGUGACGUUACAGGGAACCAGGCAAGGGCCUUCUUGGCAGUGGCACCCUCCCUGCGGAAUGCCCUCCCAUCAGGUGUCAAGGAGAUAAAGAACUACACAACUUCUGAAGGCAGUUCUUUUGUAUUAUUAUUAGUAGUAGUAGUAAUUUUUUUCAGCUAUAACCCAUCUCUAUACACACCUAUUCACCCUGGUUUUUGACAUUUAGGUGUAUAUUUUUAGGACCCACCUUAUUUCUGUUGUUUUAUUGUUGUAACCUGCUCUGGGACCUUAGGCUGAAGACUGGGAAAUUAGUAAUUUAUCAUGAUCAUUAUCAUCGUAAUGCACCCCAUAGUCGCCUUUGACUGGACUUAACAGUCCAGGGUUCCUUUAUCUUUAACUAAGUCCAUUGUUAAACCAUGCAAAUACAUCCAAGUUUGGAUGAUGAACAACCUUGCUGCUAUCAGUACAGUAUCCAAAUGUGUUCUUUGGUUUGUUUGUUUGUUUCCUUCAUAUUACUUAAACUAGGGACUUUUUGGAAAAUGCUAAAGAGCAUAAGAAGUUGUUCGGAUUACGUUAAAGGGGAAUGAGUUUUAUUUGUAAUACUUGCUGUUCUUAUUAUUUUAAGAUGAGGUUCUAUUUCCAUUUAAAAGAAAAGACAACAUUAUUUGUGUAAGUGCAAAGGGAUGAUCCUGCCCACAGAACAGCCAGUUUCUAUGAGGGCUUGGGUCAUUACAGAACCAUCUCCCACAACUUGAC
Podarcis lilfordi (Lilford's wall lizard) is the source of this 2247-nucleotide non-coding RNA. Lineage: Eukaryota; Metazoa; Chordata; Lepidosauria; Squamata; Lacertidae. The record is from the annotation of a GenBank genome assembly.